CCUACGGGUGGCAGCAGUGGGGAAUAUUGGACAAUGGGGGGAACCCUGAUCCAGCGACGCCGCGUGAGUGAAGAAGUAUUUCGGUAUGUACAGCUCUAUCAGCAGGGAAGAAAAUGACGGUACCUGACUAAGAAGCCCCGGCUAACUACGUGCCAGCAGCCGCGGUAAUACGUAGGGGGCAAGCGUUAUCCGGAUUUACUGGGUGUAAAGGGAGCGUAGACGGCGGGGCAAGCCAGAUGUGAAAGCCUGGGGCUCAACCCCGGGACUGCAUUUGGAACUGUGCUGCUAGAGUGUCGGAGAGGCAGGCGGAAUUCCUAGUGUAGCGGUGAAAUGCGUAGAUAUUAGGAGGAACACCAGUGGCGAAGGCGGACUGCUGGACGAUGACUGACGUUGAGGCUCGAAAGCGUGGGGAGCAAACUGGAUUAGAUACCCCUGUAGUC
RNAcentral lists this ribosomal RNA (440 nucleotides) under uncultured bacterium. Its description in RNAcentral is "partial 16S ribosomal RNA". It matches the Rfam family "Bacterial small subunit ribosomal RNA", at positions 338 to 795 of the family's 1533-position model. The record is from RNAcentral.